AUUGAACGCUGGCGGCAUGCCUAACACAUGCAAGUCGAACGGCAGCGGGCCGCUCGGGGUGCCGGCGAGCGGCGAACGGGUGAGUAAUGCAUCGGAAUGUACCCGGGAGAGGGGGAUAACCGCCCGAAAGGCUGGCUAAUACCGCAUGAACUCGGAAGAGGAAAGCGGGGGACCUUCGGACCUCGCGCUCUCGGAGGGGCCGAGGUCGGAUUAGCUAGUUUGUGGGGUAAAGGCCUACCAAGGCGACGAUCCGUAAGUGGUCUGAGAGGAUGAUCAGUCACACUGGAACUGAGACACGGCCCAGACUCCUACGGGAGGCAGCAGUGGGGAAUGUUGGACAAUGGGCGAAAGCCUGAUCCAGCCAUGCCGCGUGUGUGAAGAAGGCCUUCGGAUUGUAAAGCACUUUCGGCGGGGAGGAAGGGCGUCAGGCUAAUACUCUGGUCGGUUGACGGUACCCGCAGAAGAAGCACCGGCUAACUACGUG
Molecule: ribosomal RNA, 484 nt
Filed under: uncultured bacterium
Lineage: Bacteria
Description: partial 16S ribosomal RNA
Rfam family: Bacterial small subunit ribosomal RNA
Source: RNAcentral